This 482-nucleotide ribosomal RNA is filed under the name uncultured bacterium. RNAcentral's name for it is "partial 16S ribosomal RNA". It matches the Rfam family "Bacterial small subunit ribosomal RNA", at positions 28 to 507 of the family's 1533-position model. The record is from RNAcentral.
GAUGAACGCUAGCGGCAGGCCUAAUACAUGCAAGUCGAACGAGAUUACGAGGCUUGCUUCUUAUGAAAGUGGCGCACGGGUGCGUAACGCGUAUGCAACCUACCUUAAUCAGGGGGAUAGCCCGAAGAAAUUCGGAUUAAGACCGCAUAAAAACACAGGAUAGCAUUAUCCAAUGUUCAAAUAUUUAUAGGAUUAAGAUGGGCAUGCGUGUCAUUAGCUAGUUGGCGGGGUAACGGCCCACCAAGGCGACGAUGACUAGGGGAUCUGAGAGGAUGACCCCCCACACGGGUACUGAGACACGGACCAGACUCCUACGGGAGGCAGCAGUAAGGAAUAUUGGUCAAUGGAGGGAACUCUGAACCAGCCAUGCCGCGUGCAGGAAGACAGCCCUCGGGGUCGUAAACUGCUUUUAUUCGGGAAUAAACCUUUCUACGUGUAGGAAGCUGAAUGUACCGAAGGAAUAAGGAUCGGCUAACUCCGUG